AGUAACGCGUGAGCAAACUGCCUUAUACAGGGGGAUAACACUUAGAAAUAGGUGCUAAUACCGCAUAAGACCACAACUCGGCAUCGAGAAGAGGUUAAAGGAGAAAUCCGGUAUAAGAGGUGCUUGCGUUUCAUUAGCUAGUUGGUGAGGGUAAUGGCCCACCAAGGCGACGAUGAAUAGCCGAUCUGAGAGGAUGAACGGCCACACUGGAACUGAGAAACGGUCCAGACUCC
This 233-nucleotide ribosomal RNA is filed under the name uncultured bacterium. RNAcentral's name for it is "partial 16S ribosomal RNA". It matches the Rfam family "Bacterial small subunit ribosomal RNA", at positions 109 to 339 of the family's 1533-position model. The record is from RNAcentral.